UACGGGGGGAGCAAGCGUUGUUCGGAUUUACUGGGCGUAAAGGGCGCGUAGGCGGUCACUACAAGUCAGUUGUGAAAUCUCUGGGCUUAACUCAGAACGGUCAACUGAUACUGUCGGACUAGAGUGCAGAAGGGGCAACUGGAAUUCUCGGUGUAGCGGUGAAAUGCGUAGAUAUCGAGAGGAACACCUGCGGCGAAGGCGGGUUGCUGGGCUGACACUGACGCUGAGGCGCGAAAGCUAGGGGAGCGAACGGG
RNAcentral lists this ribosomal RNA (254 nucleotides) under uncultured bacterium. RNAcentral's name for it is "partial 16S ribosomal RNA". It matches the Rfam family "Bacterial small subunit ribosomal RNA", at positions 524 to 776 of the family's 1533-position model. The record is from RNAcentral. RNAcentral also lists the same sequence under 1 other name.